Molecule: long non-coding RNA, 1064 nt
Filed under: Numida meleagris (helmeted guineafowl)
Lineage: Eukaryota; Metazoa; Chordata; Aves; Galliformes; Numididae
Description: lncRNA (ENSNMEG00000002843.1)
Source: RNAcentral
AAAACUGUGUUUGGUAAAGCCUGGAGCUCAACACUGAGUAAUUCAGAUGGAGUAGCUCUGGCUGGGGGGUGGGUUUGGGUUGGGUGGAGCUCAGCUGAGGGAGUGAUUAGUAAUGAGCAGCACCUGGGGCUGGAGGUAGGCAGUCACCUCCCACAGUUCCCUCUGCCUGGCCCCGAGGGAGGAGGCUGGAUGAUCUUUCUGGAUGGCUGUAAAGCUCUCCUGUAUAUUACUGCAGCACCCACAGUGCUUGGAUGGGGUUCUGCAGAGUCACCAUCAGUUCCUGUGCAUCACUUGCAGCAAUGUGGUCCAUCAAGUUGGUGUGGUGACCUGCUGGGCUGGCUGAAGACCAGGUCUUUUGUUCUGGACUUCAGGAUGCUGAAGGUCUGUGGCAGAUCUGUUCUGUUGUGCAGAGGGCCUGUGCGUGUGCCUGGGGAGAGUAAAGGUUGAUCUUCCCAGUUGGGGAGUUGCUACACUGUGCUGAAUUUGAAAGAAAACUGAUUGCAGCAGCUGUGAAUGUGGAAAUAAUUAAAAGAAAUGAUUUAUACCUGCCCAAGUUCGUUCUUAGGUAUAGGACAGUCAGUGGAGUUCACUGAGAAUCUUGGUGGUUGCUUGUCCAUGCUACAGUAUGAGUAAUCUAUUUAUCACAGCAGCAUGUUUCUGGUCCUUCUUGUAAGUAUCCUGGACAAAAUGUGCCAGCUAAACUGUGCCCAGCAAGAAUGGGGGAAGAAGGAAAGAGGAAGGAAAAAAGAAAAACCCUCGAAACCUGACCUGACUGUUAUGGGAGAUGAUUAUUAUAAUUCUCCGCUUGCAAAUUUCCCAUUUGUGUUCGGCAGCUUCCCACAGUCUCUCACUGUCACAUUCAUUCAAAAGCCAGAAUGGCAUUGAUGGCGUUCAGCGUGUUGGCUCGUUCUUCCCAGUUCUGCCUGGAGACUGGGUGUACAGUAUGUAACGGAAACCUUCCACCGAAGUUCUGCCCUCCCAGUCAUCCCUUUUUCAAUUGAAAACUCCUCUUAGACUUUCCUCAUCCUCCUUUUGUCCUCAGUCAAAUGUGUUUUGAAAACAAA